GGACUACAGGGGUUUCUAAUCCCGUUUGCUCCCCUGGCUUUCGCGCCUCAGCGUCAGAAGAGGUCCAGUCGAGCGCUUUCGCCACCGGCGUUCCUUCCGAUAUCUACGCAUUUCACCGCUCCACCGGAAGUUCCCUCGACCCCUACCUCCCUCAAGACUCCCAGUAUCGGCGGCACUUCUACGGUUGAGCCGCAAGAUUUCACCACCGACUUGAGAACCCGCCUACGCGCCCUUUAAGCCCAGUGAUUCCGAACAACGUUUGCACGGUUCGUCUUACCGCGGCUGCUGGCAC
RNAcentral lists this ribosomal RNA (292 nucleotides) under uncultured bacterium. RNAcentral's name for it is "partial 16S ribosomal RNA". The record is from RNAcentral. RNAcentral also lists the same sequence under 2 other names.